UGGGGAAUAUUGGACAAUGGGCGCAAGCCUGAUCCAGCAACGCCGCGUGGAGGACGAAGGUCUUCGGAUUGUAAACUCCUGUCAGGCGGGACGAAGGGCUGGCGGCGAAUAGUUGCCAGUCUUGACGGUACCGCCAGAGGAAGCCCCGGCUAACUCCGUGCCAGCAGCCGCGGUAAUACGGAGGGGGCGAGCGUUAUUCGGAAUUAUUGGGCGUAAAGGGCGCGUAGGCGGCCGGAUAAGUCAAAGGUGAAAUCCCUCGGCUCAACUGAGGAACUGCCUUUGAAACUGUUUGGCUCGAGUCCGGGAGGGGGUAGCGGAAUUCCCAGUGUAGCGGUGAAAUGCGUAGAUAUUGGGAGGAACACCAGUGGCGAAGGCGGCUACCUGGACCGGAACUGACGCUGAUGCGCGAAAGCGUGGGGAGCAAACAG
RNAcentral lists this ribosomal RNA (428 nucleotides) under uncultured bacterium. RNAcentral describes it as "bacterial SSU rRNA". It matches the Rfam family "Bacterial small subunit ribosomal RNA", at positions 355 to 775 of the family's 1533-position model. The record is from RNAcentral.